This 598-nucleotide long non-coding RNA is filed under the name Physeter macrocephalus (sperm whale). Its description in RNAcentral is "Physeter catodon (sperm whale) lncRNA (ENSPCTG00005000652.1)". The record is from RNAcentral. Lineage: Eukaryota; Metazoa; Chordata; Mammalia; Artiodactyla; Physeteridae.
GAGGUGAAGAUGCAGCGGGCGGAACCCGGUGGAGCUAGUGGGAUUCGGGGGCGCUAAAGUCGCAGGGACAGGGCGGGAAGGAAGAUCCGGAGCGGGGCAGAGGAUCCGGAGCUGGAGCCCCCAGGGGCACAGGCGCUGGGGACGCCUCCCUGCUUAUACCCGCCCGUGUCCUGCCCAGGACCCAUCAGAGGCUCCAGGGGUGCUCCGGGGGAUGCUGCCGUACUCCCUCUUCAUCCCGAAGGACGGGUUUGGGAAAGGCCUCCGACGGCUCGUGGGGCAGCUCCUGUGGGAUCUUCCCUCCUUGAAGAAGGGAGUGGGUCGGGACAAGUGAGGCCGGCUCCAUGUAUCCGGAAUCGACCACGGGGUCCCCGGCUCGGCUCUCCCUGCGGCAGACCGGCUCCCCUGGCAUGAUCUACAGUACUCGGUAUGGGAGCCCCAAAAGACAGCUCCAGUUUUACAGGUAACGAGCCCUCCGUUUUCCCUACAACCGGCAAGCAGGGCAGCGGGUGGGAGAGCCGUGCCGUCCAGGCCGGGUGUGCUGGUGAUUUCUCGGGCGUGAAAACUCCCCCGUGAGAUCCAGGCUCUGGUCCUCUUCUCG